GGCGGUCAACGGGCUAUGCUGGCUUGACAGGGCUGGGCUCUUCAGAACAGAAGCAUGGAUCUCGGAAUCCCUGACCUGCUGGACGCGUGGCUGGAGCCCCCAGAGGAUAUCUUCUCGACAGGAUCCGUCCUGGAGCUGGGACUCCACUGCCCCCCUCCAGAGGUUCCGGGCCUUCAAGAGAGUGAGCCUGAAGAUUUCUUGAAGCUUUUCAUUGAUCCCAAUGAGGUGUACUGCUCAGAAGCAUCUCCUGGCAGUGACAGUGGCAUCUCUGAGGACCCCUGCCAUCCAGACAGUCCCCCUGCCCCCAGGGCAACCAGUUCUCCUACGCUCUAUGAGGUUGUCUAUGAGGCAGGGGCCCUGGAGAGGAUGCAGGGGGAAACUGGGCCAAAUGUAGGCCUUAUCUCCAUCCAGCUAGGUCAGUGUUCUUUGUGGGAAGGGGGAAAUGGCCCUUCGGGACUGGCCCUAACCAUGGGGUUAAGGGGGUUUACCCAACCUGUGCCACUACCCAGGCCCUGCGGCUGUCAGGGUGUUCCUAAGUCUCCUCUCUCCCAGCUACCUGUUCUCUACUCCAGAUCAGUGGAGCCCAGCAUUUAUGGUGCCUGAUUCCUGCAUGGUCAGUGAGCUGCCCUUUGAUGCUCAUGCCCACAUCCUGCCCAGAGCAGGCACCGUAGCCCCAGUGCCCUGUACAACCCUGCUGCCCUGUCAAACCCUGUUCCUGACCGAUGAGGAGAAGCGUCUGCUGGGGCAGGAAGGGGUUUCCCUGCCCUCUCACCUGCCCCUCACCAAGGCAGAGGAGAGGGUCCUCAAGAAGGUCAGGAGGAAAAUCCGUAACAAG
This 835-nucleotide small RNA is filed under the name Pan troglodytes (chimpanzee). RNAcentral's name for it is "processed transcript". Lineage: Eukaryota; Metazoa; Chordata; Mammalia; Primates; Hominidae. The record is from RNAcentral.